AUUGAACACUGGCGGCAGGCCUAACACAUGCAAGUCGAGCGGAUGAAGGGAGCUUGUUCCUGGAUUCAGCGGGGGACGGGGGAGUAAUGCCUAGGAAUCUGCCUGGUAGUGGGGGAUGACGUCCGGAAACGGGCGCUGAUACCGCAUACGUCCUGAGGGUGAAAGUGGGGGAUCUUCGGACCUCACGCUAUCAGAUGAGCCUAGGUCGGAUUAGCUAGUUGGUGGGGUAAAGGCCUACCAAGGCGACGAUCCGUAGCUGGUCUGAGAGGAUGAUCAGUCACACUGGAACUGAGACACGCUCCAGACUCCUACGGGAGGCAGCAGUGGGGAAUAUUGGGCAAUGGGCGAAAGCCUGACCCAGCCAUGCCGCGUGUGUGAAGAAGGUCUUCGGAUUGUAAAGCACUUUUAGUUGGGAGGAACGGCAGUAAGUUAAUACCUUGCUGUUUUGACGUUACCAACAGAAUAAGCACCGGCUAACUACGUG
Molecule: ribosomal RNA, 484 nt
Filed under: uncultured bacterium
Lineage: Bacteria
Description: partial 16S ribosomal RNA
Rfam family: Bacterial small subunit ribosomal RNA
Source: RNAcentral